UAAGCCCUAUGAAGCCAUGCCUUAGCCAUCCAUUUGGGCAUCCAUAUGAAGACUUGUAAGGCUAUAAAUAAGCCAUAGAGGGACAUCUUUGGGAAAUCUUUUGAACAUCUUUUGAACAUUGUAGUCUCUUGUAUUUCGGCCUUAGGCUUGGGAGGGCUUUGCCCUAUUGUAUUCGGUCCUAGAGUGUCUCUAAGGACUUGGGCUAGUGAGAACCCAUCAUAGUUCCACUAGAUUAUGCUUGUAAGCUUCAUUUUGGGAAUAGAAUCCACCUCAAGCUUUCCUCUAAAUCCACUUGUGUUCUUGAGUUGUUUUCAUUCAAGCCAAGGGUCGGGUCAAGCUGCAGCCAGUAGGCCCUCCCCUUGCCUUGAUUCCCUUGGCUACUAAGUGCUCGGCACACAACCGGCGUUACCCGUUCGGCCCGCGUUCCUACGUUCUAAGGCAUCCGCAAGGAGCCAAGGUGCAAGGCUUGGUGUGGCGGCUCGGGGCCGAGAGACGCCCUCCAACAUGGAACCGCGUGCGGCACUCUGCCCCAAGGGAGCACGUGGCCCGUUCACCAUAGCACGUGCCCGCUACGGUUUAAAAUCCACAGCGCGCGCUGUGGUUAAAAAAAAAUGGAAUAUGUAGCCGGUACGCAUGCAUACCGGUCGGUACCAGCCCGAAAACAGCUGGAACCGGUAUCCAUGUUGUUCGGGUAUCGGUUCCAGGCCGGACCAGUCUGUACUGGGCCGAACCGGCCGGUACGGACCGGUUCGGCAAACCAUGUUUGCAACAAUAAAAUUUCUAUCUUUUCAAGACAAUAAACAAUAUUAAUGUCUGUUGUACG
RNAcentral lists this long non-coding RNA (823 nucleotides) under Phoenix dactylifera (date palm). RNAcentral describes it as "long non-coding RNA (PDAC_LNC017882)". The record is from RNAcentral. Lineage: Eukaryota; Viridiplantae; Streptophyta; Magnoliopsida; Arecales; Arecaceae.